Molecule: ribosomal RNA, 485 nt
Filed under: uncultured bacterium
Lineage: Bacteria
Description: partial 16S ribosomal RNA
Rfam family: Bacterial small subunit ribosomal RNA
Source: RNAcentral
AUUGAACGCUGGCGGCAGGCUUAACACAUGCAAGUCGAGCGGAGAUGAGGUGCUUGCACCUUAUCUUAGCGGCGGACGGGUGUGUAAUGCUUAGGAAUCUGCCAUCUAGUGGGGGACAACAUUCCGAAAGGAAUGCUAAUACCGCAUACGUCCUACGGGAGAAAGCAGGGGAUCUUCGGACCUUGCGCUAAAUGAUGAGCCUACGGCGGAUUAGCCAGUUGGUGGGGUAAAUGCCUACCAAGGCGACGAUCUGUAGCGGGUCUGAGAGGAUGAUCCGCCACACUGGGAGUGAGACACGGCCCAGACGGCUACGGGAGGCAGCAGGAGGGAAUAGUGGGCAAGGGGGGGAACCCUGAUCCAGCCAGGCCGAGGGUGUGAAGAAGGCCGUAGGGUUGGAAAGCACGGUAAGCGAGGAGGAGGCUACUGAGGCUAAUGCUCUUGGAUAGUGGACGGUACUCGCAGAAUAAGCACCGGCUAACUCUGUG